Long non-coding RNA from Takifugu rubripes (torafugu), 2715 nucleotides. Lineage: Eukaryota; Metazoa; Chordata; Actinopteri; Tetraodontiformes; Tetraodontidae. The record is from Ensembl.
GAAACUGAUAGUCGCACCUUUAAAGACUCACGUCACAUCACAGCAACUAUUUAAGGACAAUGGAAGUUCAAAAAUUCCUCUUAAUCAUGCUGCAGUUGCUUUGCAUAAAGGGACGAGAUAAACAGUUUUCUCCUAUCUUGUGAACUAAGCGUGUUGUUUUGCCCGGACAGAGUGGAAGCGUGCCAGCCCAGUAUCCUUAACACACAUCCUGUUAUCUUCCAGGCUAACCGUGUCAACACAUAAAAGCUGGCUGCUCCGUCUUAUCACGGUGCGACUGAGUGGAGCGGAACCUCUCACUGGUGCCGUUGCCCCGCCAUCAGAGAAUUUGCCAUUUACAACAGCUCACAAUGAGCUGAUCAUGUGCUCUUACAAAUGAGCACCAAAGCCUGGUUGGGCUGGACGGCGGCCGUUUCACUGGAGGAAAUCCAAUUGAUCACUGUAAAAACGGUCCCACCCAGUUUAGAGCACACAUAAAACAGCAUGUUAACUGUGGGCUGCACACACACACAGGCUCUGCAGACGGGCGGCUGUCACGCUGACACACACUCGUUUUCCCUUUCCUUCACGAGGACUUGAACUCGUGUGAUCGCCAAAAAAGGUACGGAACGGGAAUUCUUAUCAAUGGGCUUAUCCGCGCCAGAUGUAUCAGUGAUGUCACGUCUGAUUUAUGGCAACAGGUUGUGGAAAAUGGGAAAUGAGCAAUCUGUGAGCGAAGAGCCGACGCAGACAGAGAAAAUUCCCGAGACGCACGAAAACGGCUCCGUGAACGGCCUGUCCGCAGGCGUCCUGGCUCCUGCUUCCGAGAUCAGCGUCACCGUUGAGCCCACAGUUGAGAAAAAUGGCGGCCCGCUUUUGUUGAGCCUCGCCGUAGAACCAAACGGGAUCGGUCAGGUGACAGAUGGAGGAGACGGAGAACAUGAAGGAGAACACAGAGGAGAACAUGAGGAAGAACACGUCGACGCUGCAGUCGUUAACGAGGCCAUUGAGAAGGUGGUUGAAGAGGUGAAGAAGAGCAAAGAAGAAAAAGUCAGUCGCUUCGGCAAGCUUUUCAAAAUGAAGCCUCACGUGAAGAACGUUCCUAAAGAGGAGAGCCCAGGUGAGAGUCCGGCAGGUGCCAGCACUCCUGAAGAGGAACCGCAGCAGGACACCACCCACCUGAUACCAGAAGCCCAACCGCCACCGGAGCCGGACAGCGCCAGCGUAGAGCCCAGUCCAGAGGAGGAAGGAGCUCCCGAGACCGACGACGGCAACACCCAACCUGAGCAAAUCCAAGAGGAGGACGACCCCGAAAAGAACUCAGUCAUGAACUUCUUCAAAACUCUGGUGACUCCCACCAAAACCGCCAAGAAGAGUUCAGCUGCUCCUGACGCCGCCAAAGAUCAGUCCGAGAAUGAGAAUCAACCGGCAGAAACCGCUACUGUGGCACAGGUAUCGGAGCCCCCCGCAGCACCCAAAGGGAUGUCCGUCCCACCGCCGCCUCCUCCAGAACCCCCCAAAAUGGAAACCAAAGGAGAGACAUCUGCCAAGCCUGCAAAAACAACUCCAAAAGAAGAACCAGUAAAGGAGCCUGAGGCCUCAAAAGGGAAAUCAGCCAAAGAGGCUUUUGGCAAGUUCUUCCGUUCAAAGAAGGUGGAUCCUUCAAAAACGGGCACCUUGGAGGCCGCGCCCAAGCCUGAACCGCCACCGCCCGCCCAGGAGAAGAAACCUGCCUCCAAGUCAGGAUUCAUGUCCAUCUUCAAGUCCAAAGCUGCCGAUCCAAAGAAGGCCAGCCCAGCCCCCCCUGCCGCAGCUGAACCAGCCCCGGCUGUAAAAACCAAAGAGGAGCCGAAACCAGCAGCCAAGCCCUCAGAAACCCCUGCUGACAACAAAGCAGCUGUGACGGCUGCUCAGGCCGGGGAAGAUGCUCCCAGCGGCCCCAAGAAACUGGAGAAGAGGAACUCCAUCCAGCUCUUCUUCAAAAUUCGGAGUCAGAAGCGCAACUCCACAGAUGCUGGCAUCCAAACGGAACCACUCGCUGGUUCUGCAGCAGCUGAGAAGUCCAAAUGAAGCCAGAACCGCCAGUGAAGAUGGUGAAACGCUUGACUGAGGUCGUUGAAUCUGCUGCGGUCUGAAAAAGACGCAACUGUUGACAGAUAUAUAUUUUUUGGUGACAAAUGUCCUGAUAAAGUGUAGCUUGUGAAGACUUUUCUACAGACAUUUAAUGUGACUUUCUCUCUGUUUUUCCAACCUGACCAGUUGGGGUUAAGUCCUAGACAGGAGCGCGCUUUGUCUUUAGUUAAUCUGUCAGAAACACUUCAAACGUGCCGUUAAAAAUUAAAUUUGGCUUCAUAUAAUAUCAACAGGCUAAUGGGAAAUGAUCUUUAAAGUAGAAAUAAGGUCUUUGUGUAACAGAACACAUUUGCAUUUACUAUUUUUAACUUUGUAUGAGCUCUUAAGCUAACAGUCGUGUAAUUAUAUGACUCACUGUUCUGUGGGAAGCUGAUGGAAAUCGUUCACAAAUUCAACAGACAAACGUGUCCUUGUGAUUCCUGUCACCAAACUAACUAAAGUCUGAGUGCUUUUGUUUGCCUCCAUAUAACUUAUAUGUUGGUCCGGGCGUACGUGUGCAUAUGUAACUUCAGCCAUCAUGAAGACAAUAAAUAUGUUUACUGUUGUUUCUUCUUUGUUGGUGUGAUUCCACCCUUGAUUUAGUUUGUCUGAAUAGGAUAGAAGUGA